Molecule: ribosomal RNA, 614 nt
Filed under: uncultured Gammaproteobacteria bacterium
Lineage: Bacteria; Pseudomonadati; Pseudomonadota; Gammaproteobacteria
Description: bacterial SSU rRNA
Rfam family: Bacterial small subunit ribosomal RNA
Source: RNAcentral
GUAGUCCACGCCGUAAACGAUGUCGACUUGGAGGUUGUGCCCUUGAGGCGUGGCUUCCGGAGCUAACGCGUUAAGUCGACCGCCUGGGGAGUACGGCCGCAAGGUUAAAACUCAAAUGAAUUGACGGGGGCCCGCACAAGCGGUGGAGCAUGUGGUUUAAUUCGAUGCAACGCGAAGAACCUUACCUACUCUUGACAUCCAGAGAACUUAGCAGAGAUGCUUUGGUGCCUUCGGGAACUCUGAGACAGGUGCUGCAUGGCUGUCGUCAGCUCGUGUUGUGAAAUGUUGGGUUAAGUCCCGCAACGAGCGCAACCCUUAUCCUUUGUUGCCAGCGGUUCGGCCGGGAACUCAAAGGAGACUGCCAGUGAUAAACUGGAGGAAGGUGGGGAUGACGUCAAGUCAUCAUGGCCCUUACGAGUAGGGCUACACACGUGCUACAAUGGCGCAUACAAAGAGAAGCGACCUCGCGAGAGCAAGCGGACCUCAUAAAGUGCGUCGUAGUCCGGAUUGGAGUCUGCAACUCGACUCCAUGAAGUCGGAAUCGCUAGUAAUCGUAGAUCAGAAUGCUACGGUGAAUACGUUCCCGGGCCUUGUACACACCGCCCGUCACACCA